RNAcentral lists this ribosomal RNA (407 nucleotides) under uncultured prokaryote. RNAcentral's name for it is "bacterial SSU rRNA". It matches the Rfam family "Bacterial small subunit ribosomal RNA", at positions 355 to 776 of the family's 1533-position model. The record is from RNAcentral. RNAcentral also lists the same sequence under 1 other name.
UUAGGAAUCUUGCGCAAUGGGCGAAAGCCUGACGCAGCGACGCCACGUGACUGAUGAAGUCCUUCGGGAUGUAAAAGUCUUUUCUGAGGGAAGAAGGAUGUGACGGUACCUCAGGAAUAAGCCCCGGCUAACUACGUGCCAGCAGCCGCGGUAAUACGUAGGGGGCGAGCGUUGUCCGAAUUUACUGGGCGUAAAGCGCGCGUAGGCGGAUUUUUAAGUUGGGGGUGAAAUCCCGAGGCUCAACCUCGGAACUGCCUCCAAAACUGGAAGUCUUGAGGUAUGGAGAGGGAAGUGGAAUUCCUGGUGUAGCGGUGAAAUGCGUAGAUAUCAGGAGGAACACCCGUGGCGAAGGCGGCUUCCUGGCCAUAUCCUGACGCUGAGGUGCGAAAGCUAGGGUAGCGAACGGG